Molecule: ribosomal RNA, 162 nt
Filed under: uncultured bacterium
Lineage: Bacteria
Description: partial 16S rRNA
Rfam family: Bacterial small subunit ribosomal RNA
Source: RNAcentral
UAGGGAAUCUUCCACAAUGGGCGCAAGCCUGAUGGAGCAACACCGCGUGAGUGAAGAAGGGUUUCGGCUCGUAAAGCCCUGUUGUUAAAGAAGAACACGUAUGAGAGUAACUGUUCAUACGUUGACGGUAUUUAACCAGAAAGUCACGGCUAACUACGUGCC